GAUUAUUAAAAAAAAAUCAAAUUCCUUUUUCUGGUAGUAUAAGAGAAUCGAUAGUUCUCAAACAAUGAGAAAUGCCAGACACAAUAUUUUCUCAAAAAUAGUUUGAAAUGUAUUUAUGAGCUGACAGGAAAAUGAGGCAUACUCCCAGUAUAAUGUUCUCAUCAGCUUUCACAUUAAAGGCAUUUAACAAACUGGGACAACUUGAGUUUUUACAAGUCAGCAGGGCAUAGGGAACAGCAAAUAAACUUGCUGGCACUGACAAAGCCAGGGCCCACCAAAAUAAAAAAUGUAACUGGGGGUGUCCUGCUAAAGACAGAACUCCAGAAGGCUACCAGAAUUUCCUUCUCAAAAAUUUGCCUUGGGAGAGCACCAUAGGUUUUCUCCAGCUGUAUACAGUCUUCCCUGAAAGAGGAGUCGGGCGGGGGAGGGGGAGGACUUCAACAGCCUAAACAGGAAAAGCUCUCUUCAGUCCGAUUCACCGAACCAAAGUCAACCACAAUCAUCUUCGUCCCUCUACCGCGGCCAACUCUUGCGUGCUCACACGCGUUUCAUCUUUGGAGCGGAAAUGUUUUCUUAAAAAAGAAGAGAUUCCAGCACAAAUUGUUGGAAGAUCUGUGGCUUCCCGGCAUAUUGAUUAUCUUCAUCACCAUCUCUGACCCCUCGCAGGCCAUCGAAACAGGGCAAGCACAGUGCAUGUUACAACAGAAGGCAGCCAGGGGGCUGUCCUUUCUAGUUCUAUAAACUCCCCAACUGGGUGGCCUCCAAGAAACAAUGCAGGGAGGUUGGCCGUGGCCCUAAGAAGCACAAUGCGACCACCAUUCGCCUGAAGUCUCUGUGGCUUGCUCCUUCCUCCUGUAACCGAGCAUGUGUGAAUCACGGGGCUGUGAAAAUCCCGAGUGGAAGUGAAGGGGAGCCCUCUGUCCGACACCCCUAGACAUCUUAAUAAUAUUUAUGGCUUCUGGGAUGUAAAAAAAAAAGGAGAAAUGAGCUCGAGCCCCGUACUGCCAUUUCCGUGAAUCUCAUAAUGGAAGAGAUAAUGUGAAUACAUUUGAUGAUAUUCAAAUAUCAUCUGUGUGUUAUCAUUUUACUCAACACUCAAAAUACGACUGUGUCUGCCAAGCAGAUUACAUAGCUUGGCACGCUUCCAUUUCAUGAAUGACACUUAAUAUGAAAUAAUUUUCACUGACAAAUAGAGUAACAGUGAUAUAACAGAUCCUAAGGUGGUACUAGAAUAAAUCCAGGCAUUCCGGUAUGAUGAUAACCCGACUAAUCCCAAACACGGCUGCGAGGUGUUCCUAUCACUUUCGAGGAAAGGACGGCCUUUAAAAACAGCCUUGCUCCUUCCCUCCUUACAGACCCGACCUGGGCUCUUUCAUACUUAGGGCCCAUCCAGUCUUGUGCUAUAUAAAGAAUGGUUUAUUAGAGUCCAUUGCCUGCCAUUCCUUUGCCCUACUCUGAGCACAAGAGCCCUCCUCAAGUGUCAAGGCAAAGGUUCUCUCUUCAGCUCAGAAGUUCCAGCGCUCUGCCAGAAUUUCUCUCGGGCCUUCUUUAGAGAAUAUUGGGGGCAAUUUAAAAGUAGUGGUUUGUUGGAGUUCCCAUUGUGGCUCAGCGGUAAUGAACCAGACCAGUAACCAUGAGGAUGCAGGUUUGAUCCCUGGUCAUGCUCAGUGGGUUGAAGAUCUGGCAUUGCCAUGAGCUGUGGUGUAGGUCACAGACAUGGAUAAGAUCUGGCGAGGCUGGGGCUGUGGCAUAGGCUGGUGGCUAUGGCUCUGAUUCCACCCCUAGCCUGGGAACUUCCAUAUGUGCCAGGUGCAGCCCUAAAAAAGAAGCAAAACAAACAAACAAACAAAAACAAAAAGAAAGAAAGAAGAGAAAUAAAGAAAUAUAAAAGCAGUGGUUUGCCCCAAGCACAACAACUCUGGGCUCUGAGCUCUUGGUUCCUCUGUUUUUACUCAACUCACAUAUCAGGAUCUUGCAUAAGAUUCCAGUGGGUGCUAAAUAUAAAACCAAAAAAACGAUGGCUUCAAAAAUGUGUGAAAACCAUUGCAACAAAUGGUUCCUUCCCUCAGGCACUCUUAACCCCCUCCCCAGGCUGGUUCCUUCAAAUGGAGAUUUAGGUAUUUAUCUUCCUUUAAAGCACCUCGCCCUCGUUUCCUCUUCCAGAAUCUGGAACCUACCGCGAACUGAAACAAUACUUAUUGACAAUAUCCAAAAAAUAAUCCAGAGUUUUGCACCAUAAAUCUUUGCAAGGUUAUGAUUUGUUUUUCUCACAUGGAUUCUAAUCCAGCUUGGGUUCAUCCUCUCCCCAAACUCCAACUCGCCCCCCUACCCCAUCAGUAAAGCAGGCAUUUACCUGAUAUGUCAUCUCUAUGGAUUUUAUUGUUAUAAGCAAAGAGGAAUGAAGCUGCCCCUCCCCCUCUCCACAAAACUGGCAGCUGGUUGGUAUCCUGGACUAAUUAUUUGAAAUUUGGCAAAGACAUCAAAAAAUGCCAACUUCGGUGAGUGUCUAUAUAUCUGACAACUGAAAAUGAACUGGAAUGUUAUUGAACAUCUAUUAAUGUAUAUUGGUCAAAUCGGCCGUACAUUGUGCAUAAUGAUCGAUUUUCCUAAUCUUAAUGUCAAAAAUAAAUGAACAGAAAUGCCAAAGAUUGGGGGUAAUUUGAUUGUACGCCUCAAAAGUCCAUUUAAAAAAUGAACUGUUCUGAGCAAACUACUUGACAGACAAUGGAGCAUGAAGGCAGAUUCUAGAAACUAACAAAUCCCAUUCAUUUCCUUCAGUUUGUAAAAACAAGCAACUGACAUGUUUCCUGCCAAUGAACCAUGGUUGAAGAUAAGAAAGCUGCCUCCAGGAAAUCCUUUGCUAAAAGAGAACAGUUGUGUCAUUAAACUUAAACCUUUUUCACCAAAUCUCAAUCAGUUAAAUAUUUGACAACAUGGGAUCACGAAAUAUAUGCUAAAUCACCCCAAUAAUGCUAUCCUGCUUCUAAAGUCUAUUAUUUCCUACGACAUAAUGCCAGAUAUUCAAUAAAUAUUACAGUCUAGUUCGGAUUCUUUCUACCCCCUCCCAUGCAAUUAGUUGAUGAAAACAAGGGGAAUUUUCUGCUUUUUGGAAACAUCAAAGCUUUUGUUAAAUGAGAUUUAAAAUGGACCGUUUUUAAUUAAGAUAAAGCAAUAAAUCAUCAUGAUUGAAAGAAGGAUAUUUCUAAAUGAAUAUCAAGCGCUUAACAUGUAAAGACAACCACUGACAAGACUGAAAAAAUAAAGAAAUGCACCGGCUUUAUAUUGACAAGUUUCAACGUUGAUCCCCAAAGUCAAAAUUUAGCCUCCUUGGUUAUUUUUCACUUAGCAAAGUGAAAGAGUGAGAUCUCCAAACUUUUCUCUCCUCACCAAAACCACUACCAAGAUGUUGAAAAUAUUCGCAACUUUGAGGACCGUCUCAGUUAUCCUAAAACUAAAGCAUUCUUUUCUCCACCCAUGCACAAUAUUAAUGAUAACAGUUUUGAAACAGCUCUUAUUUCGGUUGAGGGCUCUCCUUUCCCUUUUGGCUACAGAGAACCCCCUUUCUUCCACCUCCCAAAGCACCAGACAGCCUGCAAUGCCUUAGAGGGAAGUUCCAAAAUGCCACCGUUCUUUAAAUUCAAUUGCUACAGUUCCAGUGUGAAGCCUCUUGCAAACAGAAACUCUUCAUUAUACUGUCCCCAAAUGACUCUUCAGCCACAGGUUAACAGUCUAGGCUGUGCAGCUCUACAAAGAGUUUCGUUCUAACAGUAACCAUACAAAACCAGUUUGCUCCCACAAUUAAGUGAUCAAAUACAUUCUUUUUAGCCUUCCCUGGUGCAACUCACAGGUACCAAAAUGCAAAGUAAGUACAUGUGUUCAUCCUUGCUUUAAGCCCGUUUCUUCACACAUUUCCAAUAAAAAUACAGCUACGAAUUCCAGGAGACUGCAUUUUUGGUUGUUGUUGUAAAAUGACCUUGAUUUGACAGGCACAGUCUCAGGUUUCAACAGAUGCUCUGGGAAAGCUUACAGAAGCCAACAUGUUCUCCAGGCAUCUGUGAUGACAUGCAGGUUUUUUUUUUUUUUUUUUUUUUUAAGUGGUUAAUAUGGUAAGGGGGGGGUUACUUGUCUCGGUUUCCAUGACAACCAUGUCUCUACUCAUGGGUUAUUAGAUUCCAUCCACUUCCUGUG
This 4188-nucleotide long non-coding RNA is filed under the name Sus scrofa (pig). RNAcentral's name for it is "lncRNA (ENSSSCG00015014090.1)". Lineage: Eukaryota; Metazoa; Chordata; Mammalia; Artiodactyla; Suidae. The record is from RNAcentral.